Non-coding RNA from Sus scrofa (pig), 1292 nucleotides. NCBI's taxonomy places the organism in Eukaryota, Metazoa, Chordata, Mammalia, Artiodactyla, Suidae. The record is from RefSeq and is a predicted model, not a curated record.
CGCCCGGGGGAUGCCGGUUCGCCCCCCCUCGGGCCUGGAAGGCGCGAGGCACUCCUCCACCUCGCGGAGGCGGAGGCGGGUAGGAGGAACUCCAAGAGACUGAAUUUCUUUUACUUCAUGCUCUUCAAAGACAUGUGAAUCAACAAACUGCUCCACACUAGACUCUAAGCUUCAAGAGGCAGGGUCACAUCUGCUCUAUUGACUGCUCACCCCAAGUGACCCAGACCAAGACUCAAGUCCUGGAGGAGGAUGAACUCGAGCGCCACUUGAAUAAAUUAAUGAAUUGCUCCACUCCCAGCCAGAGCUGAGGGGAAAAGGACAAAACAAGGUAGGACUUCUCCCAGAACAGAUGGAUGAAAUCUGAUAGCAAACUGGGACCAAAGGCAGCCCCAACUCCUUUGGUUAAAGCUUCUGGACCAGAAUGCCAGGGUCCUGUGGCAGCUUCUGUCCUAAUGUCUUGGUUUGGGAGCAGGGAUCUGCACUCUUGGACUCUUGCAGAACCUGAUGUCAAAAGACCGGAGCCCUCUGAACUCCCUCAAGUCGCCCACAAAGCCCCUUUGCGGAUGCCCCCCAGCCUCCUCUCCCUCCCUCCCACUUCACUUUUCUCCAGCACCUCCCUCUCCUAACUUCCCAUGGGGACAGAGUAUCUGGGAAUGAGACUUCCUCAAUGAGGCCUCAGAGAAGGGCCCCUCUAAGGGUGAUGACAGGUAGGACAGACAGGCAGAAAACAUAAUUUGAAGUAUUUUUGUUUUUUUAUAUACAGAAUACAGGAAAGUUUCUGUAAAGUCUAAAACAUUACAAUUACUAUGUACAUCAGUACUAGUUGUGGGGGGAGGGAGGAGAGGAGGGAGCCAGGGAUGGGAGGAGCAGGAGAGAAGUGGCAAGAGAACAAAAAAAGGAGACAAAACAGGUUUACGACAAAAACGUUUUUGCUACAAUAGACAAUUUGAAGAAAACGCUCUACCACAUGUAGUACUGUACACAGUUUUUAAAAACAUUGAAAAAAUGUCAUCACUAGAUGUAUUUACACAAAAUCCAAAUACACUUUUCCUUAUUUGAAAUAAAAUAGAUGGACAGCCAGAAAAAGAAUUCAUUUCUCAUUUGUCCAUAAUACACAGUAGCUACCUGUAGUGCAACUGCUGCAGAAAGGGAAAAGAACCCGGAGGGUGGGAACCAUAGGAGGAGGGUGGGUAGCGAUCUUUAUUAAAUAAAACAAUGAUAUUGUAUAGAUUUUGCUGUAUGAAAACUGUAUUUUUUUCUUUUAAUAUAAAACUAUUGUCACUGCCACAAAA